Molecule: long non-coding RNA, 402 nt
Organism: Penaeus chinensis
Lineage: Eukaryota; Metazoa; Arthropoda; Malacostraca; Decapoda; Penaeidae
Exons: 3
Source: RefSeq, a predicted model, not a curated record
CACCCCUAUCUGCUCGAAUGCUUGAAUCUGAUCGUGAUCCUGAAGGUCCAUCUCAACCUGCUGCGAUGGAUGGGUGACCGGUAUGACCCAGCGAUUAAUUACCUGACCUCUAGGGCUGACAGGUGCCUACUGUCAUUCCUUGCCGACAGUCUCUACAGUGGAAGCUUUGGGCAGGACGAAGCAACAUGAUCCAAAUAUUGAGAUGCAGUGAUGAAGAUUUUCAAUUCCUUGUCAUUAGUUACCACUCAUAGAAGUCAGAGAUUGUUACUGAAACUCUGUAAAACCUACAUAGACAAAAAUUAUAUUUUGUUGUAAAUAAGUUUCUUUCUUUUUUUCCUCUUUUCAGUAAUGAGUUGAUAUUUGUUGUAUUUUACAUUGAAAUACAAGAAAUUAAUAUGUUUA